AAUCAACGCUGGCGGCGUGCCUAACACAUGCAAGUCGAACGCGGAUCAUCGGGUUAGCAAUAAUUCGGUGGUCCUAGUGGCGCACGGGUGAGUAACACGUGGGUGACCUGCCCUUGAGCUCGGGAUACCCCCUCGAAAGGGGGGCUAAUACCGGAUACGUUCCUCGGUCGAAAGACUGAGGAGGAAAGGUGGCGCAAGCUGCCGCUCUUGGAGGGGCUCGCGGCCUAUCAGCUAGNGGCGGGGUAACGGCCCACCAAGGCUAUGACGGGUAGCUGGUCUGAGAGGACGACCAGCCACACGGGGACUGGGACACGGCCCCGACUCCUACGGGAGGCAGCAGUGGGGAAUUUUCCGCAAUGGGCGAAAGCCUGACGGAGUGACGCCGCGUGUGGGACGAAGGCC
RNAcentral lists this ribosomal RNA (402 nucleotides) under uncultured bacterium. Its description in RNAcentral is "bacterial SSU rRNA". It matches the Rfam family "Bacterial small subunit ribosomal RNA", at positions 28 to 416 of the family's 1533-position model. The record is from RNAcentral.